This 78-nucleotide non-coding RNA is filed under the name Escherichia coli. RNAcentral describes it as "naRNA4". It matches the Rfam family "Nucleoid-associated noncoding RNA 4 (CssrE)". Rfam says of the family: In E. coli small RNA transcribed from repeated extragenic palindromic element (REP325) called nucleoid-associated ncRNA 4 (nRNA4) collaborates HU protein in condensing the DNA. The secondary structure but not the sequence of the RNA is important in nucleoid condensation. RNAcentral also lists the same sequence under 1 other name. The record is from RNAcentral. Lineage: Bacteria; Pseudomonadati; Pseudomonadota; Gammaproteobacteria; Enterobacterales; Enterobacteriaceae.
GGCCGGAUAAGGCGUUUACGCCGCGUCCGGCAAUCGGCACACCAUGCCUGAUGCGAUGCUGGCGCAUCUUAUCAGGCC